CCUACGGGUGGCAGCAGUGAGGAAUAUUGGUCAAUGGGCGAGAGCCUGAACCAGCCAAGUCGCGUGAAGGAUGAAGGAUCUAUGGUUUGUAAACUUCUUUUAUAUGGGAAUAAAGUGAGGAACGUGUUCCUUUUUGUAUGUACCAUAUGAAUAAGCAUCGGCUAACUCCGUUCCAGCAGCCGGGGUAAUACGGAGGAUGCGAGCGUUAUCCGGAUUUAUUGGGUUUAAAGGGUGCGUAGGUGGUUAAUUAAGUCAGCGGUGAAAGUUUGUGGCUCAACCAUAACAUUGCCGUUGAAACUGGUUGACUUGAGUAUACUUGAGGUAUGCGGAAUGCGUGGUGUAGCGGUGAAAUGCAUAGAUAUCACGCAGAACUCCGAUUGCGAAGGCAGCUUACUAAACUAUAACUGACACUGAAGCACGAAAGCGUGGGUAUCAAACAGGAUUAGAUACCCGGGUAGUC
RNAcentral lists this ribosomal RNA (460 nucleotides) under uncultured bacterium. RNAcentral's name for it is "partial 16S ribosomal RNA". It matches the Rfam family "Bacterial small subunit ribosomal RNA", at positions 338 to 795 of the family's 1533-position model. The record is from RNAcentral.